GGCUCAGAUGAAACGCUGGCGGAAUGCUUUACACAUGCAAGUCGAGCGGCAGCGCGGGGCAACCUGGCGGCGAGCGGCGAACGGGUGAGUAAUGCAUCGGAACAUGUCCAUUCGUGGGGGAUAGCCCGGCGAAAGCCGGAUUAAUACCGCAUACGCCCGAGAGGGGAAAGCAGGGGACCGCAAGGCCUUGCGCGAUUGGGUUGGCCGAUGUCCGAUUAGCUUGUUGGUGAGGUAAAGGCUUACCAAGGCGAUGAUCGGUAGCUGGUCUGAGAGGAUGAUCAGCCACACUGGGACUGAGACACGGCCCAGACUCCUACGGGAGGCAGCAGUGGGGAAUUUUGGACAAUGGGGGCAACCCUGAUCCAGCCAUUCCGCGUGAGUGAAGAAGGCCUUCGGGUUGUAAAGCUCUUUUGUCCGGAGCGAAACGGGCGGUCCUAAUACGAUCGUCUACUGACGGUACCGGAAGAAUAAGCACCGGCUAACUACGUGCCAGCAGCCGCGGUAAUACGUAGGGUGCGAGCGUUAAUCGGAAUUACUGGGCGUAAAGCGUGCGCAGGCGGUUUUGUAAGCCAGAUGUGAAAUCCCCGGGCUUAACCUGGGAAUGGCAUUUGGGACUGCAAGGCUGGAGUAUGGCAGAGGGGGCUAGAAUUCCUGGUGUAGCAGUGAAAUGCGUAGAUAUCAGGAGGAAUACCGAUGGCGAAGGCAGGCCCCUGGGUUAAUACUGACGCUCAUGCACGAAAGCGUGGGGAGCAAACAGGAUUAGAUACCCUGGUAGUCCACGCCCUAAACGAUGUCGACUGGUUGUUGGGGGUUUGACACUCUCAGUAACGAAGCUAACGCGUGAAGUCGACCGCCUGGGGAGUACGGCCGCAAGGUUUAAACUC
This 884-nucleotide ribosomal RNA is filed under the name uncultured bacterium. RNAcentral describes it as "bacterial SSU rRNA". It matches the Rfam family "Bacterial small subunit ribosomal RNA", at positions 21 to 902 of the family's 1533-position model. The record is from RNAcentral.